This 510-nucleotide ribosomal RNA is filed under the name uncultured Planctomycetota bacterium. RNAcentral's name for it is "bacterial SSU rRNA". It matches the Rfam family "Bacterial small subunit ribosomal RNA", at positions 355 to 879 of the family's 1533-position model. The record is from RNAcentral. Lineage: Bacteria; Pseudomonadati; Planctomycetota.
UCGAGAAUCUUCGGCAAUGGGCGAAAGCCUGACCGAGCGACGCCGCGUGGAGGAUGAAGGCCUUCGGGUUGUAAACUCCUGUCGGAGGGGAAGAAAUUUUGACUACCCCCUCGGAGGAAGUCCGGGCUAAGUUCGUGCCAGCAGCCGCGGUAACACGAACCGGGCAAACGUUAUUCGGAAUUACUGGGCUUAAAGGGUGCGUAGGCUGCGCUAUAAGUCGGGUGUGAAAUCCCUCAGCUCAACUGAGGAACUGCGCCCGAUACUGUAGUGCUUGAGGAGGAUAGAGGUGAGCGGAACUAGCAGUGGAGCGGUGAAAUGCGUUGAUAUUGCUGGGAACACCCGUGGCGAAAGCGGCUCACUGGGUCCUUUCUGACGCUGAGGCACGAAAGCUAGGGGAGCGAACGGGAUUAGAUACCCCGGUAGUCCUAGCCGUAAACGAUGAGCACUAGAUCGGGGAGACCUCCACAUCUUCCCGAUCGUAGCGAAAGUGUUAAGUGCUCCGCCUGGGGA